Molecule: ribosomal RNA, 496 nt
Filed under: uncultured bacterium
Lineage: Bacteria
Description: partial 16S ribosomal RNA
Rfam family: Bacterial small subunit ribosomal RNA
Source: RNAcentral
AUGCACGCUGGCGGCGUGCCUAAUACAUGCAAGUCGAGCGAACGGACGAGAAGCUUGCUCCUCUGAUGUUAGCGGCGGACGGGUGAGUAACACGUGGAUAACCUACCUAUAAGACUGGGAUAACUUCGGGAAACCGGAGCUAAUACCGGAUAAUAUUUUGAACCGCAUGGUUCAAAAGUGAAAGACGGUCUUGCUGUCACUUAUAGAUGGAUCCGCGCUGCAUUAGCUAGUUGGUAAGGUAACGGCUUACCAAGGCAACGAUGCAUAGCCGACCUGAGAGGGUGAUCGGCCACACUGGAACUGAGACACGGUCCAGACUCCUACGGGAGGCAGCAGUAGGGAAUCUUCCGCAAUGGGCGAAAGCCUGACGGAGCAACGCCGCGUGAGUGAUGAAGGUCUUCGGAUCGUAAAACUCUGUUAUUAGGGAAGAACAUAUGUGUAAGUAACUGUGCACAUCUUGACGGUACCUAAUCAGAAAGCCACGGCUAACUACGUG